CUUGCUUCUCUGAGACUUAGCGGCGGACGGGUGAGUAACACGUAGGUAACCUGCCCAUAAGACUGGGAUAACUACCGGAAACGGUAGCUAAUACCGGAUAGGUUCUUCUCUCGCAUGGGAGAGGAAAGAAAGACGGAGCAAUCUGUCACUUAUGGAUGGACCUGCGGCGCAUUAGCUAGUUGGUGGGGUAACGGCUCACCAAGGCGACGAUGCGUAGCCGACCUGAGAGGGUGAUCGGCCACACUGGGACUGAGACACGGCCCAGACUCCUACGGGAGGCAGCAGUAGGGAAUCUUCCGCAAUGGGCGAAAGCCUGACGGAGCAACGCCGCGUGAGUGAUGAAGGUUUUCGGAUCGUAAAGCUCUGUUGCCAGGGAAGAACGUCUCUUAGAGUAACUGCUAAGAGAGUGACGGUACCUGAGAAGAAAGCCCCGGCUAACUACGUGCCAGCAGCCGCGGUAAUACGUAGGGGGCAAGCGUUGUCCGGAAUUAUUGGGCGUAAAGCGCGCGCAGGCGGUCAUUUAAGUUGGGUGUUUAACCCCAGGGCUCAACCCUGGGUCGCACCCAAAACUGGAUGACUUGAGUGCAGAAGAGGAGAGUGGAAUUCCACGUGUAGCGGUGAAAUGCGUAGAGAUGUGGAGGA
RNAcentral lists this ribosomal RNA (642 nucleotides) under Paenibacillus provencensis. RNAcentral describes it as "bacterial SSU rRNA". It matches the Rfam family "Bacterial small subunit ribosomal RNA", at positions 79 to 705 of the family's 1533-position model. The record is from RNAcentral. Lineage: Bacteria; Bacillati; Bacillota; Bacilli; Caryophanales; Paenibacillaceae.